RNAcentral lists this ribosomal RNA (315 nucleotides) under uncultured eukaryote. Its description in RNAcentral is "partial 18S ribosomal RNA". It matches the Rfam family "Eukaryotic small subunit ribosomal RNA", at positions 1470 to 1796 of the family's 1831-position model. The record is from RNAcentral.
CCCUUAGACGUUCUGGGCCGCACGCGCGCUACACUGACCAGUGCAACAAGCAUCCGUCCUUGGCCGACAGGCUCGGGCAAUCUUUGAACGCUGGUCGUGAUGGGGAUAGACUUUUGCAAUUUUUGGUCUUCAACGAGGAAUUCCUAGUAAACGCAAGUCAUCAACUUGCGUUGAUUACGUCCCUGCCCUUUGUACACACCGCCCGUCGCACCUACCGAUUGAAUGGUCCGGUGAAGCCUCCGGAUUGGCGCGCACCUCGGUGCCGCCGAGAAGUUGGCUAAACCUUACCAUUUAGAGGAAGGUGAAGUCGUAACA